CAACAACCUAACAGGGCCGAGUUAAACAAAGCGAGGGGACUCAGAAUUUCAAAAAGUCGUGCUAAGAAGACGGGUACGUUUGUUCCUAGGAAGAGGGGGGAAGGUCUGCCGGUUCUAGGGUGAGAACACCCACUACAUACAAUGAUGAGGAAGAAGAGCAGUUGGAUGAUGAUGUGAGUGAUGAUGAAGACGUUGUGGAGAGUCAAAGUGACAGUGGGAGUGAUAAUUUCAACUCCGAUGAUUUCAUUGAUGAAGAAAUUGAAGAUGAAGAAGAACUAGUUGUUCUUGAUAUUAAAUUUUAGAUUUCUAGUAGGUCAAAAAAAAAAUUCAAACAAACAAUUUGAGAAAAUAAUAAACAAACAAAAAGAAAAAAAACAAAAACAAAAAAUAUAUAUAAAAUAAUGAAAAUAAUAAUGAAAAAAAAAAUGAAAAAAAAAUGAAGUGAGAUAUUUGUGUUAACCGACAUUGCAUCUCCCAAUAUUGGACCUUACCCAUUUCAUCUUCACUCAUCUUCAAAAUAUGGGUUCUCCAUUUUUCCUGUUCGUUGGUUGCCUCUCGCCAAAACCACCCAUCAAGCCACCACUUCUCCUCACAUCUAACAUCGACGAUCAACACUCGAUCAUACUCAUUUGUUCGGUAAUUUCAGACUCCCUUCAUCAAUUAGUUGGAAUUGAAUAAAGAUCAAAACCCCCAAAUUGAGUAAACCCUAACUUAUUGAAUCUUCUCUCUCUUUUGGCUUUAUUUGGUGUCAUCGGUUCUUUCACUUGACGGAGGCGUCGUCCUUAUUCGUUGGCGCUACUAAUACUGUCGGAGAUGAUACCUUCUUUGUUGGUGUUGAUUUUGUGUUCUUGUUCCUCUUCUCUUCUGCUCGUUGCUAGCCCGAGAUGGUCAUCGUCUACAGGUAUUUUUGAUUUCAUAGGUUGCUUCGAGUGAGGACGACAAUAAUAAAAGUGAAUGUAUUAAAAAAUAAAAAAGGGUUUUCCAAUUAUAAAUGUCUUAAUAAUUAAUUUAUUUUUUAAGUUGUAUUGUCAAGUCCUAAUUUGGUUAACGUAAAGAGUUUUGUAAUCUUAAAUAAUUUUUUUAAUC
Molecule: long non-coding RNA, 1086 nt
Organism: Spinacia oleracea (spinach)
Lineage: Eukaryota; Viridiplantae; Streptophyta; Magnoliopsida; Caryophyllales; Amaranthaceae
Exons: 2
Source: RefSeq, a predicted model, not a curated record